UUUGAGCCACUGCAUCCCCUAGCGGCGCCCGGGUGGCUGCAGCCGCUGGCCCGAAAAUGCUGCUCGGGCGAGCAGGGGUCAGGCGGGAAAAGAAGACUCCAAAUCCACUCUCUGCUCGCCCCCAGGGCAAUGCUGCCAGGAGAGGGAGUGGGUUCCCCCGCAGGCUAUCCCACCGAUGGGGCUGAGAGCUUAAUUUGGGGUUUUAUUUGAAUUGGAGACAUUGUUCCCUCUUCGCUCCUCUACCCCAUAAAAUUCCCUACAAAUGCAAAAAUUCGAGAUAGAAGAAGCCGUCCCUGAAAGUAAGUUCUGAAGGAUUCCUUUCAUGCGGUGAAGGAACAACAACAAUAUUCAACUUCACCUUGGUGUGUGAGGGUCGUCGUGUUUUAAAACACUAUCCCUGUAGAAAGAUUAGUGAAAUGUAUUGGAAGAAGUAGUGGAAACGUGAAUCUUCCUGGUCUCGCGUUUGGAUCUUCUUUGGAGUCCUCACCUUCUUAAAUCUGAUGUUUGUUUGAAAUCAGGGAAGCUGAAAGAAAAAAUGAAAAAUGCUUCUCCGCGCGUCAAUCGAGGGGUGGAUGCGCCACGCAGCGUGAGCCCAGCUCACAGCCACGCGUAAGACCAAAAGCUGCCAUGGGUUCUGCGCGCGGAGACCUCAGAGCCGAAGAGAGAAGUCCCCGCGUCAGAAACGCUGCGGAUGCCAGGUCUUGAAAAUGCUGACUUCUGAGGCUGGGCCUCGGCCUGGUCUAGCGAGUCCCCUUCCUCCCAAGGAGCAGCCGGCGGAGCUCGGGUGGAGGAAAGCGAGGAGGCGACCAGGAGGAUGCCGCCGCCGCCGCCGCAGGGCCCGGGGCUUCUGCAGGGCGCAAGGCCUCCCUCACCAGGGUAAGGGGCUGGCGAUCAACCUGGACGCCUGGGACCUUGGGAGCAAGCAUCCCGCAGCCGAGCAGGCGACGGCGCGGCCACCGCCUAGAGAGGAGCCGGGGCCCGGGGCGGCGUGCGGGUCGGCAGCAGCCGGCUUGGCCUAUCCGAAACCCCAGGCCUGGAAGCGGCUGCUUUAGGCGUCAAGUUGAGCGGGGUAUGUGUGUCCUCUUGGGAAAAAGGCAGAAGAAAGAAGCGGAGCCGAGCCGAGCCGCCGAGUCCCUCCCCCCGGAGCCCCGGAGCCCCGGCGCCUGCCUGGGCGGUCCCGGCCGCGCAGACAGAAAAGAAGCCGGGAAUCUGCGGGGCUGGGGGGCGGGGAGCGACACCAAAGGCCAGAAACUGCAGCACGGCCCGAGGCCCUGGCGAGCUGGGCCUGGGGGAGGAGAAGUCCCUUCCCAUUCCAGCUCGAUCAAUCUUGCUGGGCUGCGAUCGGUCAAUAAAAACGGUGUGAAGCGGC
Molecule: long non-coding RNA, 1369 nt
Filed under: Homo sapiens (human)
Lineage: Eukaryota; Metazoa; Chordata; Mammalia; Primates; Hominidae
Description: non-protein coding GATA3-AS1:3
Source: RNAcentral